This 110-nucleotide ribosomal RNA is filed under the name Nymphoides spongiosa. RNAcentral describes it as "partial 5.8S ribosomal RNA". It matches the Rfam family "5.8S ribosomal RNA", at positions 50 to 154 of the family's 154-position model. Rfam says of the family: 5.8S ribosomal RNA (5.8S rRNA) is a component of the large subunit of the eukaryotic ribosome. It is transcribed by RNA polymerase I as part of the 45S precursor that also contains 18S and 28S rRNA. The record is from RNAcentral. Lineage: Eukaryota; Viridiplantae; Streptophyta; Magnoliopsida; Asterales; Menyanthaceae.
GAAAUGCGAUACUUGGUGUGAAUUGCAGAAUCCCGUGAACCAUCGAGUCUUUGAACGCAAGUUGCGCCCGAAGCCGUUAGGCUGAGGGCACGUUUGCCUGGGCGUCGUAU